UACGUAGGGACCAAGCGUUGUUCGGAUUCAUUGGGCGUAAAGGGUGCGUAGGCGGUCUGCUAAGUUUGAUGUGAAAUCCCGGGGCUCAACCCUGGAAUGGCAUUGAAUACUGGCGGACUAGAGUACCGGAGAGGAAACUGGAAUUUACGGUGUAGCAGUGAAAUGCGUAGAGAUCGUAAGGAAGACCAGUGGCGAAGGCGAGUCUCUGGACAGCAACUGACGCUGAGGCACGAAGGCCAGGGGAGCAAACGGG
Molecule: ribosomal RNA, 253 nt
Filed under: uncultured bacterium
Lineage: Bacteria
Description: partial 16S ribosomal RNA
Rfam family: Bacterial small subunit ribosomal RNA
Source: RNAcentral